AGUUGGUACCUUAAACGUUGUGCUCCCUAUGAACAAAAAUGGAGACACUAGCCAUGUGGCAAGGGAGCAAACUUUUGCUUCGUUUAUAAUCCUCAUCAUGCUUUCCCUGUUGUAUAUUCCUUAAUUAAUCUCAAUCAUUGGGAAAUGAAUCUGUUUUUAACUUUUUUCCGGUCCUGAAUUCGGUAGGUAAUAAGGUCACAUUCUUGCCAUUGCAUUCCAUUAGAGCGUGUGAUCUCCGAGUUGUUGGCACUGGCGUAUGGUUUGUUGUGCGACAGACUAUGUUUAUUUUUCUUUUUGGCUCAACAUACAUUUUGCAUGCAACAGGACCACGAGUGAUCCAAGAUCCACUGAUCCCUCUUCACAUUGUUGAUCCAAUUUAAGUUCAAUCCAACACUUCGCCACUGAUGUUGCUGGCACAAUUUUUUUUGGAGGAAAUGCUGUCAUAAUUUUUGCCCACGGAAAAUGUACUUCUUGAUCUAAACUAGAUUUAGUCAUAUCGUUCUUUAUUUACAAAUACACCUUCCAGCAAAAAGAUAAGUCAUUUGUCCAAACAGUGAAGCACUAGUAGCAUUGCCAUCGUUCUUGUUUUUUCCACAGGGACAGAAGUAAACGGCCAAGUAUUUCAGACCAGUGAGAGGAAUAUGCUAGCAUUGGAGUUGGAAUAGGAAAGAAGUACAGAAAUGCACAGGAUCAGUUUGAUGGUUGUUGAGAAUUCAGGAUUUGUGGCCUCCUGUAUUCUCUCAAAAACUGACCUCCUGAAGUUUGACCUCGCUAGUUGUUUAACCACAGAUCUGAAGUCCAUGUUCUCCAUAUUAGGAUAGGCACUAUUCUUUUUUUCUGAGGAUCAUUAACUUGACCCAUGAUUUCUUGAAGAGCCGGACAAAGUUUCCCAGUAACAGCAAUUGGUUUGAUUGCCCUCCUCGGUAUGCUCAUUGAAGCAUGCAUUCCUGCUGCUCCGUUUGCUUGAAGACCUCCUAUACAAUCAUGCCAUAUGCCUCAUAGUAGGUGCUGGAAAUUGUUGAAGAGCAGGAGAUUAUGUUUUACGCAAAUAAUUUGAAAGUUCUCAAGGAUUCCAAUUAGUACUACUUCCUGCGUGGUGUGCUGUCGAUGGUUCUUCCUUGCCAUGCUGAUUCCGGCUAAACUAGGACCAACUGGACUCUUGAUGGAGUGGAAACUUCCCAUGCUGAUCAGUUGCAACCUUCAGGUAGCACGAGGGGCCAUUCGACCUGGUGAGCAGAAGACGACAAAUGCAUCUCUAGUUGGCAGCAAAGGAACUGAACGCGUUGCCCUCCUCAACCGUUCAACUGCCUUGCUGCUGUCAGCUGGAGUAAUAUAACUUCUCUCCAAUUGCAUAACAUUAUCUCGUCAGCUGGUUCUAUUGUAGGUCAGAAACACAAAGGCCUGUUUUGUCAACUUGUGUCCGCUGCAUUUGCAGAACCUCAUUGAGUCAUUGUCAACACCUAGUCUAACAAGAAAAAAGAAAUUCCUCUAUCUGUUGCUGAAACAUACAGGUAUAUAUGAUUGAACCGAGCGGAAUACUAGUCUGCGUCUUUCCCUUUCCUAGCAAUACAAAUUUGUGUUUGCCGACAGGAUUAGAAUGUGGACUGUACAUCAUUGUGCACGAAUGCCACACUAUCUGAUCUUUCCUGAGAAGGAACUGGAAUAAGAAUUGGUUUGGAUUUGUGCUGGUUGUUGAGAGCUGAAAAGCUGUCUACUGGUUUCAGGGAUCCUCCUUUCCUUGUUUUCAGAUGAGUGCCUCAUUUCUGCUUUAACAAUUAUUCAGCAUGGGCACAUCUAUUUUAUUUUUUCAUCCCCUUGGACCUAUAAAAAAGAAGUAAAGUCAACAGACCAUGCACAUAUAUUUUUACUGCUUCUGGGAUCAAGUUCCUGGUAUUGCCGGCAUUCCCAGUUACCGAAGUAGAUUACUCCAUGAUUGACAAAGUUACCAUCUUAAUAUAUUUCAAUUUAGCCUCUCUCUUUUUUAAGUCGUAUUUCACAUGCUCACUUGUCAGAUCAGAUUGGCUAAUAACCCAUGGACCAAUGGUCCAUGCGUUAAUUUCAAACAGGCUAGUCCCAUAAGUUUUGGCUAAUAACCUAGCAAAGUCUAUCAGUUAUUUAAUAACGCAGCGAUCUGUCAAGAUGGGAGCGAAUUUAUGAUAUUUUGGUUCCACUUCCAUGUGACAGCGACACAUUUUGUGGUUUAGUUUUGUGAGAUUCAGAGAUACUGCUGCACCUUAACUAUCGAAUCAUCUCGCCUCCCACGAUAGCGAGACCACAUACCACCUCAUUGAAGAAAACAUGGAGACACAUGCCAAGAGACAAGGUAUAUGGUGCCAAGGUCCCCGUUGCAUUCGGCCGGAUUUGCGAUCUUGCUGGGAGUUAGUAGUUGGCAGCGACAUCUUCGUCGUCGAUGGGUGCCCGUCUCUUUUGCUAAUCAAACUGCGCUGCGGGCAUUGGAGCAGAACAUUAUAUUAGGUGAUGCAUGAAUGCAUGAUCCACUGAUCAGGCCCGCACUUCUGCCAUCAUUGAUCUGCCGUCCUGUCGAGCCGACACUUCGCCCCUGCUGUUGUUACCUGUCGCUCUAGCUACUUUUGCUUGCUUGCUUGCUUGCUUGCUGAAACUUGUGUGGAUCU
Long non-coding RNA from Setaria italica (foxtail millet), 2633 nucleotides. RefSeq lists it as uncharacterized. The record is from RefSeq and is a predicted model, not a curated record. NCBI's taxonomy places the organism in Eukaryota, Viridiplantae, Streptophyta, Magnoliopsida, Poales, Poaceae. The transcript is spliced from 3 exons.